This 63-nucleotide transfer RNA is filed under the name Trigonopterus sp. 7 AH-2016. Its description in RNAcentral is "tRNA-Tyr". The record is from RNAcentral. Lineage: Eukaryota; Metazoa; Arthropoda; Insecta; Coleoptera; Curculionidae.
GGUAAAAUGGCUGAGGAGUUAGGCGGUAAAUUGUAAGUUUACAAACGAAGGUUUUCUUUUAUC